RNAcentral lists this ribosomal RNA (253 nucleotides) under uncultured bacterium. RNAcentral describes it as "partial 16S ribosomal RNA". It matches the Rfam family "Bacterial small subunit ribosomal RNA", at positions 524 to 776 of the family's 1533-position model. The record is from RNAcentral.
UACGGAGGUGGCAAGCGUUGCUCGGAAUCCCUGGGCGUAAAGGGCGCGUAGGCGGGGAGGUAAGUCGGGUGUGAAAUCCCUCGGCCCAACCGAGGAACUGCGCCCGAGACUGCUUCUCUUGAGUCCCGGAGAGGAAGGUGGAAUUCCCGGUGUAGCGGUGAAAUGUGUAGAGAUAGGGAGGAACACCGGUGGCGAAGGCGGCCUUCUGGACGGUGACUGACGCUGAGGCGCGAAAGCGUGGGGAGCAAACGGG